AGGAGAAGGAGGAGGAGGAGGUGGAGGAGGAGGAGAAGAAGGAGCGUUACAGAUGGUCGAGGACACUUGGCAACGUUGCUGACGCGCGGGGACGAAGCCAGUUCGGGCCUUGAUCAUGGUGGCGCUUCAUGCGAAGGGGGAAGGAAGCUGCAUCGGCAGCGCCUCCAUAUAGUCGUCUCUUUCUUUCUUUCUUUCUCUUUCUCUUACUCUUUCUCUCUCUCUCUCUCUCUCUCUCUCUCUCUCUCUUCCUCUCUCUAUCGAACACGAGCUCUUCCACGUAGGGAGGAAGAGCAGGAAGGUAGGAGCAAGGAUGCCCGAACCAAGCAAAAGAGAGAUAGAGACUUGGUGAUCGAAGGGGCAUGAGGAGAGGCGCAGCAACACGAGUACUGAGAGAGUACUACGAGCAGCUCGACUCGUAUACUCGUGAUCUCUCUAGCGGGUGUCCCGGAUUGAUCGACGCCGUUCCGCCUACCGGGUGGUCCUUUUCUUCAUUUCAGAGAUCACUCGAAUUCGAGAUAGGUCAACGUUCUGCGUUAACUCUUAAUUAUCUCAAAAAAAAAACUAUAUCAUAAUGCUUAUUGGAUCUUGACGAUCUCAAUAAUUUGGGAAUAUGAAUUCGUAAAUGAUUUUAAAUGCAUGUCGACGCUCAAGAGUGGAUCGUUAUUUAUAAGAAGUUAUCCUUCGAUCAAAGGAUAAUUACAAUUCUCUUGCUUUAAAGUAAAAGAAAAAAAAAGAAAAAAAAAAAGAAAAAAAAAAGAAAAAAAAAAGGAAAAAAAAAGCAAAAGAAUAAAAAGGAAAAGAAGAAAAAAGAAAAGAAAGAAUAAAAUUCUUGAGCGUUCGAAAAUCCUUGCGCGUUGAAGGUGCUGCUACCUAGGGGAAGACGCAGAAAGCGUGACGUUACGCUUAUUUCCCGUGGCGGGAAAAUGCUAGUUGAAAUACCGGAAGAAGAAAUAGGAGGACUGUCUGCCCUGUUAUGAUCUUCGCGCUUGAAUCGUACAAAAAGUGGUCGUUAAGACGUUGACUGUUUGCAAUGGUCUACCUUGCAACCAUGCUAAAAAAGUAAUUGGUUAAUAACAUCCAAGCGCGCUGCUGUCAAGCACAAGAUUAUUAUUGGAUUAUUACAAUCUAUAUAACUCUCGCGAGCGAGCGCGGGCAUUUUCGAAAAAGUCAUCACGAUAUACCGGAAUAAAUCGGUCCUUUCGUUCCGUAUACUCACAGUUUUCUAUAUCUCGAAGAUAUGUCCUUCGUAUGUAAGAGAACUUUCGUCUUAUUUAUUUAAUUACAUAUCCAUUUACGCAUUAUACGGACAUAUUUCUCGAUCACCUUUCGACGAGGUCAAGAGUACGUGCUCAAGCGCGAACGAACUCGUCGAAUCGGUAAAAGAGUAGAAGAAGAAGAAGAAGAAGAAGAAGAAGAAGAAGAAGAAGAAGAAGAAGAAGAAGAAGAAGAAGAAGACGAAGAAUAAGAAAUCUCAGGGGAUCCUGAGGACGCCUCGUGUCUCGCGUUCCGUGUAAAAGCUUUUUACUCAGAGGUUACAAGGAGCUGGGCUGGUAGGGCGAUCGCGUCUGUCCUUUCGGUUGAGAAAAACGGUUUCUUGGACAAAGGAAAUCCCAAGCAUCCUUUUUCUCUUUCUCUCUCUCUUUCCUUAGCCCCAGUAUUCUCAUUGAACCAUUUGGUGCGUUUACGUGUCUCCUCUAUACUCGAUGUGUGUGAGUGGGGCCAAUAAAAAUUUGGCCCUCAUUUCCAAAGGCAGAAGUGCGCAAUCGAACGCUUAGGUACGGGCGCAGGUAACGGCUUUAAGGAAGCUUCUUUAAUUUCUCGUCCUUGCGAGCCACCCUGUGUGCAUUGUGCACGAUCAAACUAUGCUAGGUUCCUAAGGAGGAGGCUAGGUAGAGUGAGAAACGAGUGUGAGAGAGGAAGAGUGAGAAGAAAAAGAGAAAGACAGAGAUAGAGACAGAGAGAGACAGAGAGAGAGAGAAAGAGAGAGAGAGAGAGAGAGAGAGAGAAAGAGAAGGGUAAAGGAGUGGUGCGCGCGCGCGCAAGGGAAGGCUUGCGUAGGGGUGGAUCGCGGAGGUGGCAACGGUGGGGAGAAAAAGGGGAAUCCAACGAGAGGGGAAGAGGUUAAAGGAGAGGGGAUCAGGCGCGACGUCGAUGAGAAGGUCACGCAACGUAGUCGCCACAGUAUUUAAAUAAUGUAUUAUUUCUAUCUGGGCGCCUCCGUGAGUAUCCUACGGCGCAUAGUCGAGGUGGGGAACGUGCCAGAGUCGAUGGAGGAGAAGAAGAGAGCGUCUCUGAGAUCCGCGGACUCGAAUUCCACUGUGUGCUCUCCUCGCUCCCUCCUUGCUCCUUCUCUGGUGCCAAGGGGAAACGAAAGAAAGUGAGAGAUAUAAAACGAUCGGAGAGAAUCCAACGAAGAAAGAACACUCCUCUGGCUUAUGGAAAUAACUGGCUCGUUCUUGUUCCACGAGUAUUUUUAAGGAUAAUGUUUGAAAUCCAAAAGACAUUUUACUAUUGAUAGGUCUGAUAGGAAAAACUCAUAAUGUAAAAAAGAAACAAUAGCUUAAAUACGAUGCUAUUAUCAUAUUAAGAGUUUACAUGAGUACUUAGGAACAUAUAUAAUGAGUACUAUUAUGUUUCUCCUAGAAGUUCAUCUGUAUUAGCAGCAGUAGCAGCUGCAGCAGCAGCAGCAGCAGCAACAACAACAACAACAACGAUAAUAACAAGAGCAACAACAACAACAACAACAACAAUAACAGAGACGAUGAUGACGACAGUGGCGUCGACACAGUCAGGACGGUGGCAACAUGCGCGCGCACAAACAUAUAUCUCAUAGAUACCGCACAGAGGAGGAGAGUAGAUCUCAGAAAUCCGUGUCGACUCUCAGAGAGAGAGAGAGAGAGAGAGAAGAAUAAGAAUAAGAAGAAAAAGAAGAAGAAGCCGACGCCAUAGCGGCACCUCGACCCAAUACGACUUACGCGUAUACCUUUGAGAAAUAAUUAGAAACCGAUAUGUACCACUACCGUAACGACUGUCACUGACUCUGCGUAACACACUUUAUAUUCAGCAUUCUCGAGACGAUUGAGGAGUAGGAGGAAGAAGAGGGAUGUAAGAUGAGGGGAGGAGAAGGGGUGAGGAGGACGACGAAUGUCUGUCUGACUUACUCUUUCUCGUAACGUUCCGUUAUUCGGCGCGUUGACUUUCGCACCCGGACCUCGCCUUCUUUUCCUUCGAUCAACGUUUUAACGAUUCGUUGCAUUUCGUAUAAAGUAAAAUAAGACAGAUAUAACCUCGAUCGAUAUCUCACCUCGAUAUAUCCUUCGGUAGUUAAGUAAGUUGAUUCACUUAGUACCUAGACUACAGGCGCACGCUUAUAAUAAGUUAUCUGACCUAUCGCAUAUACAUGUGUCACGAUACCAUAGACUUCGAAAUGAAGUGGCACGUUGUUCGAAAGAUAUCGAGAGAGAGAGAGAGAGAGAGAGAGAGAGAGAGAGAGAGAGAGAGAGAGAGAGAGAGAGAGAGACAGAGAGAGAAAGAGAGAGGUAGAGGGUGGGGAGAGAGAGGGAGAUAUGCGUAGUAUCUUCUUGGCAAGGAAGAUUUUUCGGAGGUCGAAUCGAAGUCUCGAAAGAAAGGAGCUAUGGAAAGAGAGAAAGAGGACCGAGAUAAAGAGAGAGACGAUCGAAGGUUUCCGCUUCGAUGCGGCAGGUGGUAGACUCGGGUUGGUUGUUGGGAUCGGGACUCGGUAGGACUCGAGCGAUUAUCGAGAGCCGUAGUACGGCCACGCCACUGAAAACGAGGAACAAGACCAAAAACUGUGAGUUCUCGGGGCAGACAGACGGGGCCCGUUGCGGGCUUCAUCUUGUUGGGUUGCGUCGUGGGCCGACCCCGUAAGGUACAUCGUCGUUCGGCAAAAGCUCCUACCAAAGAGACUAACAAAAAGGAAGGAAGGAAGAAAGAAAGAAAGAAAGAAAGAAAGAAAGAAAGAAAGAAAGAAGGAAAGAAAGAUGGCGUACGCGUGGGAGAGAGAAAACGGUUGAAAGAAAAGGCAAACAAGCGAGAUAAAGUCGGUUGAACGGUGAUGAGUUUCGUGGAAGGAACCGACGAAGAGAGUGAGGGGGAGAGAGAGAGAGAAGGAGAAAGAUAGAAAAAGAAAAGGAAGAAGGGCCUUAAUCCAAAAGCGAAGGACUACCUCUCCUACCCUUCUAUCUCUCUUUUCUAGGCACGCUCUGCUCUAAGGAAGAUAACCGAGAUAAUUCCAUCCUCUGACGCCGCUUAAUCUUUCGUUUGAAAAUGUUAAUGGAAUAGAGAAAUUAGUCACAUCGGUAAUAACAUUGGAUACUUUUGUAAACACGCACGUAAUUUCGAUAGGCAAAUUACUUAAUGUCAUAUUUCCCUUGCCUCCAUCCACCCCCAUCCCUAUUUCCCACCCUCUGGGAAACUAUGAUAAAACAACAAAGGACAGAGAGAGAGACAGAGAGAGAGAGAGAGAGAGAGAGAGAGAGAGA
Molecule: long non-coding RNA, 4502 nt
Organism: Vespa velutina
Lineage: Eukaryota; Metazoa; Arthropoda; Insecta; Hymenoptera; Vespidae
Exons: 3
Source: RefSeq, a predicted model, not a curated record